GCAACUGUAGUGGUCUUCACAGCAAGUGGCUCCUUCAAGUGGGCAGCAUCCCCAAGAGAAGCAAGACCUACGGAACUGAAGGAUACAGCAGCAAGUGGUGCCGACAGCGCAUUGAGAAUAUUCAUCACACUCUGUAGGUGGCUUGACCGGAGAUGGAGGAGAUGGAGCGGGUUUAGGAGGAUUUGGUCCUGUUUUUACUGGAUAUGAAGGCUCUAUGGCUAAACCACACAAGCCACUAGAGCUGGCAACGUUACGCUGGACUCUGAGGUAGCCGUUCUCUCCCCAGUUAGCUCCCCAUGAGUUCCUAACGAUCCAAUAAUCCAUGCCAUUCUCAGUACCAUAUCCAGCAAUAACUACACCAUGAUCCACUGCAGUACCACAUUUUCCAGUGAAGAUACCAGAUUUGUAGUGCUGGAAGUCUCUGCCACCAGCUUCAAGUGCAAUGCUCACAGGUUGAUGUGCAACAGCCUUUUGCAACGCCUUUUCGUUAUUAACAGGAACAUCUUCAUAGCUAUCUAUUUUAACAACCUUGGCAUUUUUCCUAUAUUGAUCACAUACGCCAUUGCGUUCUUUGUAAGGGUAGUCUUCUUCAGUGUCGAUUCCUCCAUUCUUAAUGACGAAUUCAAAGGCGUAGUCCAUAAGACCACCAUCGCAACCUUCAUUGUACGACCUAUCACAAUCCACCAACUCUUGCUCUGAUAGUGAUAUCAAAUUCCCAGUGACUAUCGCGUUUAUUGAUUCCAUGGCAGCAACAGCAGAGAAUGCCCAACAACUCCCACAGCUUCCUUGAUCCUUGACACCAACAAGCACACCUUUUUCUCUCCAGUCAAUUGAUUCCGGCAAGCUAUCCCCAACUUUAGGAAGAUACCGAUCACUUUUGUUCUUCGAUAACUUUUUCCGGUCACCGGAACUCUUCGUUCCCAAGUAAAUCGACCUGUACUCCUCAUUAGUCAGAUCGGCGAAUUUCGUCAAUCCGAGCUUAUAACUCUGAUUCGGAACAGAGUUCUGUUCGUCUAUGUAUCUCAAGUUAUCCUUGAAGAUCUGAAAUCUCUUAUCCUUUUCUCCUAAGGCGUUGUACGAUUUUCCGUGCUCGAUUAGCCAGGACUCGUACAACGCCGAGACUUCAUCGUCGGUACGACGGUGAAUAUGUGUCUCGUCGUAGCUAAUAAUUGACAUAUCGGAAGCAGAGGAUAAGGUGGAGAAGAUGAGCAUGAGAAGUAUGGAUAUGGUGAGAGUUGAGCUGUGAGCUGCCAUGAUUGGUCGAUAUUAUUUUUU
RNAcentral lists this unclassified non-coding RNA (1275 nucleotides) under Hevea brasiliensis (rubber tree). Lineage: Eukaryota; Viridiplantae; Streptophyta; Magnoliopsida; Malpighiales; Euphorbiaceae. The record is from RNAcentral.